Molecule: small nuclear RNA, 106 nt
Organism: Cercocebus atys (sooty mangabey)
Lineage: Eukaryota; Metazoa; Chordata; Mammalia; Primates; Cercopithecidae
Source: Ensembl
GUGCUCACUUUAGCAGCACAUAUACUAAAAUUGGAGCAGUACAGAGAAGAUGAGCAUGGCCCCAUGUACAGAUGACAUGCAAAUUCGCGAAGCAUUCCAUAUUAAA